CCUGAAAAUGGCACCGGCUUCGAGCAUUCGGUCAGGCUUUUAAGGCAAAUGCCAUAAAACACACAUUUUCGCCUUACAAAUGGCUUCAAUAGUUUUAACAGAAAGAUUUGCAAGAAUUUGAUGAAAGUUCUCCGGUAGUCGUCGUAGGAUCGACUAGUCACGACUAGCUAGCGCGGAUGCGCGAGUACGCGCACCGGGACCACUCUUCUUAAGUAGUACUGGGAAUCCAAUAGCAACGAAAUAGAAGAUAAACAGAAAAAGGUAGACAUCUUGGAAGCGAAAGGAAAACUAAAGCAGAGCCUAACAGCGAAACCAUGUCGCACAGAAUGCUGUGAGAAACCCGAAUGCUUCUUCCAAGAAUUUGAGAAAGAAGGGAAAUGGAAGUGUGUGUGGACGGGGAGACAAAGGAACAACCAAAAGAUGCGGUGCCUUACCAAUAUCCUGGUCAGUUUCCUCUUCUGUGUCUUUGCAAAUGUCUCCUUUUUCGCUGUCAGACAAAUCUAAAACAAAAAAAAAAAAAACAAAUUCUUCAUUAAAUAUCUUUUUUUGCAGAGUUUUGUUUGCAAUGAAAUUUUUUUAUGACAUUAAAGCAACGUUGUUGAUGGGUUUCUAUGGCAACAACUCCUGAGAGAGAUUUAACAACCACUUGAGUUGUGAAAUCACACAUCUGCCUCUUUAAGUGAUAGAAGUGUUGUGAUGUUCAUGCUUUUUACUAGUAUUUGUCAUGUGAUUUCUUUGGGUAACUGACCCAGGAGCAUGGAAUCUGUACUGAGUACCACAAAGUUUCAGACAAUAUAGCACCACCACCACCACCACCACCACCACCACCACCACCACUUCCCUUUUCCAUGUCCAGCUGGACAGUCCGACAAGCCACAAUGAAGCCUUACAUAUGCUUUAGCAGAGUUUCUGUGGCUGGAUGCCGUUCCUAAUGCCAACCACUUUACAAAAUGGUCUGGAUGCUUUUGAUGUGGCACCAACAUUAGUGAGGUUACCCUGCAGCUUGCAAGUCUACGAAACCCAAGGAGGGGAAUAGGUUAUGCUAGGAGAUGAGGAGGGAGCAUAAACACUGGCAUAUCAUUUUCUUUUCCAUCGGCAUAAAUACUCUCAUUUUAAGCUAAAGGUAUGU
This is a long non-coding RNA of Octopus sinensis (East Asian common octopus), 1129 nucleotides long. RefSeq lists it as uncharacterized. The record is from RefSeq and is a predicted model, not a curated record. NCBI's taxonomy places the organism in Eukaryota, Metazoa, Mollusca, Cephalopoda, Octopoda, Octopodidae. The transcript has 3 exons.